CAGUCGAGCGGAUGAGGGAGCUUGCUCCUGGAUUCAGUCGGCGGACGGGUGAGUAUGCCUAGGAAUCUGCCUGGUAGUGGGGGAUACGUCCGGAAACGGGCGCUAAUACCGCAUACGUCCUGAGGGAGAAAGUGGGGGAUCUUCGGACCUCACGCUAUCAGAUGAGCCUAGGUCGGAUUAGCUAGUUGGUGGGGUAAAGGCCUACCAAGGCGACGAUCCGUAACUGGUCUGAGAGGAUGAUCAGUCACACUGGAACUGAGACACGGUCCAGACUCCUACGGGAGGCAGCAGUGGGGAAUAUUGGACAAUGGGCGAAAGCCUGAUCCAGCCAUGCCGCGUGUGUGAAGAAGGUCUUCGGAUUGUAAAGCACUUUAAGUUGGGAGGAAGGGCAGUAAGUUAAUACCUUGCUGUUUUGACGUUACCAACAGAAUAAGCACCGGCUAACUUCGUGCCAGCAGCCGCGGUAAUACGAAGGGUGCAAGCGUUAAUCGGAAUUUACUGGCGUAAAGCGCGCGU
This 516-nucleotide ribosomal RNA is filed under the name Pseudomonas aeruginosa. Its description in RNAcentral is "bacterial SSU rRNA". It matches the Rfam family "Bacterial small subunit ribosomal RNA", at positions 59 to 572 of the family's 1533-position model. The record is from RNAcentral. Lineage: Bacteria; Pseudomonadati; Pseudomonadota; Gammaproteobacteria; Pseudomonadales; Pseudomonadaceae.